UGAAUACGAGACGCUACGGCGUCGAAGCAGUCUAUGUCAUACUUCCAAGAAAAGCUCGCAAUGUCAUAAACAAAUAAUGCCUGUACCAUAACCGACACAGGUGGGUAGGUAGAGUAUACUAAGGGGCGCGAGAUAACUCUCUCUAAGGAACUCGGCAAAAUGACUCCGUAACUUCGGGAGAAGGAGUGCCUUAUUUAUAAGGUUGCAAUAACAAGAUCCAAGCAACUGUUUAUCAAAAACACAGGUCUCCGCUAAGUCGUAAGACGAUGUAUGGGGGCUGACGCCUGCCCAGUGCCAGAAGGUUAAAGAAGUUGGUUAGCAUUCGCGAAGCUGAUAACUGAAGCCCUGGUGAACGGCGGCCGUAACGAUAACGGUCCUAAGGUAGCGAAAUUCCUUGUCGGGUAAGUUCCGACCCGCACGAAAGGCGUAAUGAUUUGGAUACUGUCUCGGAGAGGGGCUCGGUGAAAUAGACUUGUCUGUGAAGAUGCGGACUACCUGCACCUGGACAGAAAGACCCUAUGAAGCUUUACUGUAACUUGAAAUUGAAAUUGGACUUUAUUUGCGCAGCAUAGGUGGGAGGCGUUGAGAGUAUUCUUGCGGGAAUAUUGGAGCCAUCAGUGAGAUACCACUCUUGUAAUGUUAGAUUUCUAACUUUGUAUCCUAAUUGGGUCAAAGAACAGUUUAAGGCGGGCAGUUUGACUGGGGCGGUCGCCUCCCAAACGGUAACGGAGGCGUACAAAGGUUUCCUCUGAACGGGUAGAAAUCGUAUCUAGAGUGUAAAGGCAUAAGGAAGCUUGACUGUGAGACCUACAAGUCGAGCAGGGACGAAAGUCGGUCUUAGUGAUCUGACGGUGCUGAGUGGAAAGGCCGUCACUCAACGGAUAAAAGUUACUCUAGGAUAACAGGCUGAUCUCCCCCAAGAGUUCACAUCGACGGGGAGGUUUGGCACCUCGAUGUCGGCUCAUCGCAUCCUGGGGCGGUAGUACGUCCCAAGGGUUGGGCUGUUCGCCCAUGAAAGCGGUACGCAAGCUGGGUUCAGAACGUCGUGAGACAGUUCGGUCCAUAUCCGGUGUAGGCGUUAGAAUAUUGAGAGGAGCCUUCUUUAGUACGAGAGGACCGAGAAGGACAUACCUCUGGUGUACCAGUUAUCGUGCCAACGGUAAACGCUGGGUAGCUAUGUAUGGAGAGGAUAACCGCUGAAAGCAUCUAAGUGGGAAGCCCACCUCAAGAUAAG
RNAcentral lists this ribosomal RNA (1234 nucleotides) under metagenome. Its description in RNAcentral is "bacterial LSU rRNA". It matches the Rfam family "Bacterial large subunit ribosomal RNA", at positions 1564 to 2808 of the family's 2925-position model. The record is from RNAcentral.